This 78-nucleotide transfer RNA is filed under the name Thermus oshimai JL-2. RNAcentral describes it as "tRNA-Ile (TAT) (tRNA-Ile-TAT-3-1)". It matches the Rfam family "tRNA". Rfam says of the family: Transfer RNA (tRNA) molecules are approximately 80 nucleotides in length. Lineage: Bacteria; Thermotogati; Deinococcota; Deinococci; Thermales; Thermaceae. The record is from RNAcentral. RNAcentral also lists the same sequence under 1 other name.
GGGGGCGUAGCUCAGCCCGGUGAGAGCGGCGGUCUUAUAAGCCGCUGGUCGUGGGUUCAAGUCCCACCGCCCCUACCA